AUUGAACGCUGGCGGCAUGCUUUACACAUGCAAGUCGAACGGCAGCACGGGCUUCGGCCUGGUGGCGAGUGGCGAACGGGUGAGUAAUAUAUCGGAACGUACCCAGAAGUGGGGGAUAACGUAGCGAAAGUUACGCUAAUACCGCAUACGACCUAUGGAUGAAAGCAGGGGACCGCAAGGCCUUGUGCUCCUGGAGCGGCCGAUAUCUGAUUAGCUAGUUGGUGAGGUAAAGGCCCACCAAGGCGACGAUCAGUAGCUGGUCUGAGAGGACGACCAGCCACACUGGAACUGAGACACGGUCCAGACUCCUACGGGAGGCAGCAGUGGGGAAUUUUGGACAAUGGGCGCAAGCCUGAUCCAGCAAUGCCGCGUGAGUGAAGAAGGCCUUCGGGUUGUAAAGCUCUUUUGUCAGGGAAGAAACGGUAGAGGCUAAUAUCCUGUGCUAAUGACGGUACCUGAAGAAUAAGCACCGGCUAACUACGUG
Molecule: ribosomal RNA, 484 nt
Filed under: uncultured bacterium
Lineage: Bacteria
Description: partial 16S ribosomal RNA
Rfam family: Bacterial small subunit ribosomal RNA
Source: RNAcentral